RNAcentral lists this ribosomal RNA (393 nucleotides) under Acanthamoeba genotype T4. RNAcentral describes it as "SSU rRNA". It matches the Rfam family "Eukaryotic small subunit ribosomal RNA", at positions 785 to 1080 of the family's 1831-position model. Lineage: Eukaryota; Discosea; Longamoebia; Acanthamoebidae. The record is from RNAcentral.
UUUUCUGCCACCGAAUACAUUAGCAUGGGAUAAUGGAAUAGGACCCUGUCCUCCUAUUUUCAGUUGGUUUUGGCAGCGCGAGGACUAGGGUAAUGAUUAAUANGGGAUAGUUGGGGGCAUUAAUAUUUAAUUGUCAGAGGUGAAAUUCUUGGAUUUAUGAAAGAUUAACUUCUGCGAAAGCAUCUGCCAAGGAUGUUUUCAUUAAUCAAGAACGAAAGUUAGGGGAUCGAAGACGAUCAGAUACCGUCGUAGUCUUAACCAUAAACGAUGCCGACCAGCGAUUAGGAGACGUUGAAUACAAAACACCACCAUCGGUGCGGUCGUCCUUGGCGUCGGUCUUUCGGGGCCGGCGCGGGGACGGCUUAGCCCGGUGGCACCGGUGAAUGACUCCCC